This 499-nucleotide ribosomal RNA is filed under the name Candida tropicalis. RNAcentral describes it as "eukaryotic LSU rRNA". The stretch from base 142 to 295 matches the Rfam family "5.8S ribosomal RNA". The record is from RNAcentral. Lineage: Eukaryota; Fungi; Ascomycota; Pichiomycetes; Serinales; Debaryomycetaceae.
UAAAUGAUUUGCUUAUUGCACCACAUGUGUUUUUUAUUGAACAAAUUUCUUUGGUGGCGGGAGCAAUCCUACCGCCAGAGGUUAUAACUAAACCAAACUUUUUAUUUACAGUCAAACUUGAUUUAUUAUUACAAUAGUCAAAACUUUCAACAACGGAUCUCUUGGUUCUCGCAUCGAUGAAGAACGCAGCGAAAUGCGAUACGUAAUAUGAAUUGCAGAUAUUCGUGAAUCAUCGAAUCUUUGAACGCACAUUGCGCCCUUUGGUAUUCCAAAGGGCAUGCCUGUUUGAGCGUCAUUUCUCCCUCAAACCCCCGGGUUUGGUGUUGAGCAAUACGCUAGGUUUGUUUGAAAGAAUUUAACGUGGAAACUUAUUUUAAGCGACUUAGGUUUAUCCAAAAACGCUUAUUUUGCUAGUGGCCACCACAAUUUAUUUCAUAACUUUGACCUCAAAUCAGGUAGGACUACCCGCUGAACUUAAGCAUAUCAUAAACCGAAGGAA